UGGGUAACCUGCCUCAAAGAGGGGAAUAGCCUCCCGAAAGGGAGAUUAAUACCGCAUAAUAUGUUCAAGUCGCAUGACUUUAACAUCAAAGGAUUUUCUUUUAGAAAUUCCACUUUGAGAUGGACCCGCGGCGCAUUAGCUAGUUGGUGAGGUAACGGCUCACCAAGGCAACGAUGCGUAGCCGACCUGAGAGGGUGAUCGGCCACAUUGGAACUGAGACACGAUCCAGAUCCCUACGGG
This 240-nucleotide ribosomal RNA is filed under the name uncultured bacterium. RNAcentral describes it as "partial 16S ribosomal RNA". It matches the Rfam family "Bacterial small subunit ribosomal RNA", at positions 118 to 345 of the family's 1533-position model. The record is from RNAcentral.